GAAGAGAAGAGAAGAGAAGAGAAGAGAAGAGAAGAGAAGAGAAGAGAAGAGAAGAGAAGAGAAGAGAAGAGAAGAGAAGAGAAGAGAAGAGAAGAGAAGAGAAGAGAAGAGAAGAGAAAAAAGAGAAAAGUCAGAGUCCCCCACCAGAGCACUGAGGACUGUGGUUCAGUGCUGACUUGGAAGGCCAUCUGCUUCCAUAGCACACUGGAGAUGAUGGCCAUGAUUUUCAGAUUCUCAAGACACUGGGACACAGUCUGGCUGUAACAGGUGCUAUUCUAUCCUACAGAAAGUUGGAAAAUCAUCUUUCUUUCUAAACCGGUUUGAGAUGCAGUCUUCCAAACAGCCCGGUGUACAUUCACAAGUGAAGCUCCAAAGGAAACAACUACCUGUGCUUUCAAUGCACUUCUCUGCCCAGAUUCUUCAAAGGGACAAGCUCAGCCUGUCUUCAUGGCCCAGUUACAAGGAGUGUAACUGAUGUUUGUGUUGUGAAUAGGAUAUGAUUUGCAGGGAGCAAAAAUUGCUCCCUCCCUCAUGCACGUCCUCACCAGCUGUAAGAACCACGGAGCAGUUCAAAGAAGACCUUGCAGAAUCCGACCAAAACCACCCUGGUGCUUACAAAGGCUCUGACACCAACCCUGGUCCCUCCAGACUGACAGCCAGGGGAUGUUUCUCAGCAGAGACAUUUUAGAUGUACUUGGAGAGCACUGGCAUGGACCCAGAACAACUCUUCUUACAAGCCCUUGGCACCUGACCUCUGAUCCAAGGGCAGCAGCGACUGUGGCAUGCUGGAAAGGAAAAUGCCCAGGAGUCAGUGGGUGCAUGUGGGUGACACGUAGGAACACAGGUCAAGUGGCCAGUGCAGACAAGCACUCCCUCUUCUUGAUCAACCUCUCUGCUUAAAAUAUACUUUGAAUGGGAAGAGAACUUCAUCUGCAGCAGAGACAAAUGUCAACAGCUGAGAGGUGCUCAACUGACUUUGAAGAAGUCAAGCAUCUUGGCUCUGAGGAAAGCAAACAUCUCCUAAGUUUCUUAUGACGCCCAGAAGAAGGGAAAAAAGUCUUACUUCCUUGAUGAAAUGAAAAUAUUACUGGGAUCGAUCUCCUGGAGCUGUGGAUGGAUAAAAAUGCAGCACCACAGGUUAUAAAAAUUAUUUUGAAACCUGCCUUAUUAGUCCAGCUUCUUCUCUGGACUAGACACCGAUCUGGUCUUGACAUCUCCUGGUUCAAAUUCUUAUAAACACCUUAUUUUCC
RNAcentral lists this long non-coding RNA (1250 nucleotides) under Ficedula albicollis (Collared flycatcher). RNAcentral's name for it is "lncRNA (ENSFALG00000028497.1)". Lineage: Eukaryota; Metazoa; Chordata; Aves; Passeriformes; Muscicapidae. The record is from RNAcentral.